RNAcentral lists this ribosomal RNA (488 nucleotides) under uncultured bacterium. RNAcentral describes it as "bacterial SSU rRNA". It matches the Rfam family "Bacterial small subunit ribosomal RNA", at positions 775 to 1262 of the family's 1533-position model. The record is from RNAcentral.
AGUCAAUAGAUACCCGGGUAGUCCAUGCCGUAAACGAUGAUUGCCAGGUGUGGGGGGUCUGACCCCUUCCGUGCCGGAGUUAAACACAAAUAAGCAAUCCACCUGGGGAGUACGGCCGCAAGGUUGAAACUCAAAGGAAUUGACGGGGGCCCGCACAAGCAGUGGAGUAUGUGGUUUAAUUCGAAGCAACGCGAAGAACCUUACCAGGUCUUGACAUCCACCGAAUCCUGUAGAGAUACGGGAGUGCCCUUCGGGGAACGGUGAGACAGGUGGUGCAUGGUUGUCGUCAGCUCGUGUCGUGAGAUGUUGGGUUAAGUCCCGCAACGAGCGCAACCCUUGUGAAUAGUUGCUACGAAAGAGCACUCUAUUCAGACCGCCGUUGACAAAACGGAGGAAGGUGGGGAUGACGUCAAAUCAUCAUGCCCCUUAUGACCUGGGCUACACACGUACUACAAUGGUCGUCAACAGAGGGAAGCAAGACCGCGAGG